CACACUAUUACACUACACUACCACACAACUCUACUAUAUUACAAUACUACACACCCACAGUAACACACAACUCUACUACAAUAUUGCACUAUACUACCACACAGCUCUAUUGCACUAUACUACCACACAACUCUACUAUAUUACCAUACUACACACCCACAGUACCACACAACUCUACAACAAUAUUACACUACACCAACACACAACUCUACUAUAUUACCAUACUACACCCACAGUAACACACAACUCUACUACAAUAUUGCACUAUACUACCACACAACUCUAUUGCACUACACUACCACACAACUCUACUAUAUUACUAUACUACACACCGACAGUACCACACAACUCUACUACAAUAUUACACUACACUAACACAUAACUCUAUUACAUUCCACUUCCACACAACUCUACUAUAUUACCAUACUACACCCACAGAAACACACAACUCUACUACAAUAUUACACUAAACUAACACACAACUCUAUUACAUUACACUUCCACAAAACUCUACUAUAUUACCAUACUACACCCACAGAAACAAACAAUUCUACUACAAUAUCGCACUAUACUACCACACAACUCUAGUACACUACACUAACACAAAACUCUACUAUAUUACCAUACUACACCCACAGUAACACACACCUCUACAACAAUAUUACACUACACUAACACACACCUCUACUAUAUUACCAUACUACACCCACAGUAACACACAACUCUACUACAAUAUUGCACUAUACUACCACACAACUCUAGUACACUACACUAACCCACCACCCUACUAUAUUACCAUACUACACUCACAGUAACACACAAAUGUAGUACAAUAUUAUAAUACACUACCACACAACUCUACUAUAUUACACUACCACACAACUCUAUUACAUUACACUACCACCCAACUCUAUUACACUACACUACCACACAACUCUAUUACAUUACACUACCACACAACUCUAUUACACUACACUACCACACAACUCUAUUACACUACACUACCACACAACUCUAUUACAUUACACUACCACACAAAUCUAGUACAAUAUUACACUACACGACCACACAACUCUAUUACAGUACACUACCACCCAACUCUAUUACACUACACUACCACACAACUCUAUUACAUUACACUACCACACAACUCUAUUACACUACACUACCACACAACUCUAUUACACUACACUACCACACAACUCUAUUACAUUACACUACCACACAACUCUAUUACAUUACACUACCACACAAAUCUAGUACAAUAUUACACUACACUACCACACAACUCUAUUACAUUACACUACCACCCAACUCUAUUACACUACACUACCACACAACUCUAUUACACUACACUACCACACAACUCUAUUACAUUACACUACCACACAACUCUAUUACAUUACACUACCACACAAAUCUAGUACAAUAUUACACUACACUACCACACAACUCUAUUACAUUACACAACUCUAUUACAUUACACUACCACACAACUCUAUUACACUACACUACCACACAACUCUAUUACACUACACUACCACACUGCACCAGCUGACUCCAGUGACCCAUAAAGAAAUGUUUCAUUUCAUGUUUUCAGCAUCUAUGUACUCUGUAUUAUAGCAUGUGGUUUCUGAUGUAUAGCAGGAUAAAAUGUUCCUGCUUCUGCUGCUUAGUUGGGACAUGUCUAUUUUAUGGCAUUGUGCUGGCAGGGUCCUGUGGCCAUACAGUAUGCAUGCAGCAUUCAGCUCACCAGCGUCCUCUCCUCAAUGGCUCGUUACUUGCAAAGACAUGCUAUGAUAUAGAGCUUUUGUGAAUAACUUAAAUGAAUGCAUGAAGAGACACACGUGUGAUUGAGUGCAUUUCUAUUUAUAUAUACAUUUUAUCAGCUGAAUACAUUUCAUAUUACUGAAUCAGAGAAUGUAGCACUUUAAUACUUUACGAGGAGUAUUUAUAUAGUAGGAUCUUUUUUAGAAAUGAGAUACUUGGUAAUAAGUUGAUAUGUUUAUGAAUGUAUAACUGUGAAUUCCAGUUGAUUUAACAUAAAGGGCUAUUGUUUGAGCCAUCAGGGUGUUUCUUGAUUCUCAGGUAUAUCAAAUCAAUGAAAGCUCAACACAAACUGUACACCUUUUUCCUAUUUGUAUGUUUUAUGUUUUUUGAGCUCAUAUAAUAUAAUAUUAUGGUUUGUUUUAUUUGAUUCAUAAUGUAACAUGAGAAAACAUGUUUUCCUAUUUAUAAAAUAUUGUUUUAUAUCCUUUGAAUAUAAAAUGUAAGGGCAGGAAUUCACUUGUUAAAUGAAUCUGUAAAAGUCGGCAGACAGCAGUUCUAAGGCCUGAGCUGAAAGAUUAAAGGCCAGCAGCAAUUUAAUUUCCCAUAGUCAUGGUAACAAGACUGUCUUUGAACAGUCAGAGAAGUAAUGAAUUCAUACCUCUAUAAAGGGGACAAUUGUAGCCAUAAAUAUGUCUUAAAAUAUGUAACAUUUAAAACUUGUAACAUUUAAAGGAAAUUCAUUAAUGUAAGCUGCAACAUGAAUUAAGUGGUGUGAUCGUUCUUGUUUUGUAUUGAAUGUCUACAUGUCGUAGAUGGUGCUUUUUUCGAAACCUCUGUGUACUUAAUGUAUUGUCUUUGGUAGUCAACAUUAGACAAAAAAGCAUUGUUUGUGCUGAACUGUAGGGCUUGCUGUAUGGUUGUUUGACCACAGAGGAGCACUGAUGGUUCCUUGUGUUUGUAUCAGAGAAAAUCCCUGACCGACAAGCUACUUUUACUCAUCCAGUAAAAUAUAGGCCAAUAGGUUGGUCAGUAUUCAUUCUGCAGUCCGCUGAUUCCUUGUUCCCAGGUAAUGUGAGCAGGAAGGUGGAGGUGGCCCAUUCUAAGACGGUUGGGUCCAAUAAGUGUCCGCCUGUCAUACUGUCCUCCAGCCUCAUCCAGGUCUCACGGGCAGAUGGCUGAGCAGGAAGGUGGAGUUAGACGGUUGGUUCCAGUAAGCGUCCGCCUCUCAUACUGUCCUCCAGCCUCAUCCUGGUCUCACAGGGCAGAUGGCUGAGCAGGAAGGUGGAGUUAGACGGUUGGUCCCUGUGUCAUACUUUUCUCUGGCCUCAUCCUGGUCUCAGGGGGCAGAUGGCAGAGCAGGCAGUCCCUGUGAACACAUAGCAGUGUGCUGCAGGGCAAAUAAAAAAUUGCAUGGUACAAUAUGGAUACCACUUACCCUAUGGUGGUAGUUUUUUUUGUUGAAUGACCUCGUGUUGCGGAAAGGGGAAACCGAUAGCAGUGGAAAGCAGUGGGCAGAAUCCUAGCUCUUAUGUAGUUCAUGCAAUAGCUGGAUCACUACACUGGCAUAUGCCAAGGCCUAUUUGGCCUUCAAGGAGACUUAUGCAAAAUGAUUAUUCACAGUACAUUAGAGAAUCCCACAGACCGAAGCUCCUUUUCUCCACUAUUUCUAAAUUGACUUUAUAUCCUGUGUUUACCUACUGUAGUGUCGGGACUGGGAUGUAUUCUGUGCAGUUAACCUUCACUAUGGAGGAGAUGAUUUUGUGAGCAUAAUUGUUUGGGCUUUAGAUAAGCCUGCAAAUGAUGUAAAGAUGUGUAGAGCACAGUGAACCUAAACUGUAAUGUCAUCAGUAUUCAAUGAGCUUCGCCUCUGCGCUAAUCAAGCACAAACAUUGAUCAAAAUGUUCCCCUGGUACAGAGAGUAGAAUAGAAUAACUUGUCUUUGAUCUUGAACCUUAAAGAGCUGGACGGGGCAGCGAGCUGCAGCACCACAGCUCAAACAGGCAGAUGCUGUUCUUUGUAAAUUCCAUGUAAUUUAAUGAGACAUCGCUCAACCACAAGUAUAUUCUCCUUUUGCUGAUCAUGUGAGAUUGUUUGGGCGUGUUGGUAGUCUACCUCACACUGGGAUGGGAAACUUUAUUCUGAAAUGUAAAUGUCUUUGAUUUGAUUGUUUAUCCAAGUUUUUAAAUGUUGUCUUGUCAUUGUCACUUUCUGUUUUGGUUUCCCUUCAUACAGAAAUAAACUGUAUUUGAUCUUAA
Esox lucius (northern pike) is the source of this 4025-nucleotide long non-coding RNA. RefSeq lists it as uncharacterized. The record is from RefSeq and is a predicted model, not a curated record. Lineage: Eukaryota; Metazoa; Chordata; Actinopteri; Esociformes; Esocidae. The transcript is spliced from 2 exons.